This 435-nucleotide ribosomal RNA is filed under the name uncultured bacterium. Its description in RNAcentral is "partial 16S ribosomal RNA". It matches the Rfam family "Bacterial small subunit ribosomal RNA", at positions 28 to 507 of the family's 1533-position model. The record is from RNAcentral.
GAUGAACGCUGGCGGUAUGCUUAACACAUGCAAGUCGAACGGACUCUUCGGAGUUAGUGGCGGACGGGUGAGUAACGCGUGAGAAUCUGGCUUUGGGUUCGGGACAACCACUGGAAACGGUGGCUAAUACCGGAUGUGCCGAGAGGUAAAAGGGAAAUUGCCUGGAGAUGAGCUCGCGUCUGAUUAGCUAGUUGGUGAGGUAAAGGCUCACCAAGGCAGCGAUCAGUAGCUGGUCUGAGAGGAUGACCAGCCACACUGGGACUGAGACACGGCCCAGACUCCUACGGGAGGCAGCAGUGGGGAAUUUUCCGCAAUGGGCGAAAGCCUGACGGAGCAAUACCGCGUGAGGGAAGAAGGCUCUUGGGUUGUAAACCUCUUUUCUUAGGGAAGAACAAAAUGACGGUACCUAAGGAAUCAGCAUCGGCUAACUCCGUG